UGCUGUCCUACCCCCAGGUAAUAGUAAAGAAGCAUACCACUUGAAGCCACAGUCAAUACAAUAUGCUUUUGAGAUCUCAAUGCAUAUGUUAGAGUACGCCACAUGUGUGUUUUUCCAGUUCCUCCAUAACCAUAUAGAAAAAACAUGCGACCUUCUUGACGAUUAACAGCUUGCAUUAUAGUCUUGAAUAUUUGAUAUUGU
Molecule: long non-coding RNA, 201 nt
Filed under: Lupinus angustifolius (narrow-leaved blue lupine)
Lineage: Eukaryota; Viridiplantae; Streptophyta; Magnoliopsida; Fabales; Fabaceae
Description: long non-coding RNA (LANG_LNC000351)
Source: RNAcentral